AUUGAACGCUGGCGGCAUGCCUUACACAUGCAAGUCGAACGGCAGCACGGGUGCUUGCACCUGGUGGCGAGUGGCGAACGGGUGAGUAAUACAUCGGAACAUGUCCUGUAGUGGAGGAUGGCCCGGCGAAAGCCGGAUUAAUACCGCAUACGAUCUACGGAUGAAAGCGGGGGACCUUCGGGCCUCGCGCUAUAGGGUUGGCCGAUAGCUGAUUAGCUAGUUGGUGGGGUAAAGGCCUACCAAGGCGACGAUCAGUAGCUGGUCUGAGAGGACGACCAGCCACACUAGGACUGAGACACGGCCCAGACUCCUACGGGAGGCAGCAGUGGGGAAUUUUGGACAAUGGGCGAAAGCCUGAUCCAGCAAUGCCGCGUGUGUGAAGAAGGCCUUCGGGUUGUAAAGCACUUUUGUCCGGAAAGAAAUCCUUGGCUCUAAUACAGUCGGGGGAUGACGGUACCGGAAGAAUAAGCACCGGCUAACUACGUG
RNAcentral lists this ribosomal RNA (486 nucleotides) under uncultured bacterium. RNAcentral describes it as "partial 16S ribosomal RNA". It matches the Rfam family "Bacterial small subunit ribosomal RNA", at positions 30 to 507 of the family's 1533-position model. The record is from RNAcentral.